UCUGCGUUUUGCGCAGCAGUCUCGCUAGAAAAAAGCAACUAGCGACGAGGGUUGCGCUCGUUGCGGGACUUAACCCAACAUCUCACGACACGAGCUGACGACAGCCAUGCAGCACCUGUGCAUCUCCCACCCGAAGUGAAGGAUUCCUUUUCGGGAAUCCAUAGAGAGCAUGUCAAAUCCUGGUAAGGUUCUUCGCGUUGCCUCGAAUUAAACCACAUGUUCCACCGCUUGUGCGGGUCCCCGUCAAUUUCUUUGAGUUUUAAUCUUGCGACCGUACUCCCCAGGCGGGGUGCUUAACGCGUUAGCUACGCUACUGAGAGGUAACCUCCCAACAGCUAGCACCCAUCGUUUACAGCGUGGACUAC
Molecule: unclassified non-coding RNA, 365 nt
Filed under: uncultured Rickettsiales bacterium
Lineage: Bacteria; Pseudomonadati; Pseudomonadota; Alphaproteobacteria; Rickettsiales
Description: contains 16S-23S intergenic spacer region
Source: RNAcentral